GAUGAAGAACGCAGCGAAAUGCGAUAGGUAAUGUGAAUUGCAGAAGUCAGUGAAUCAUCGAAUCUUUGAACGCACAUUGCGCCCUUUGGUAUUCCUUAGGGCAUGCCUGUUCGAGCGUCACUACACACCUUAUCACAAUAUUUGUGGUCUUGGCAGGAGUGAAUUGCUGGUCUAUGGAAGUAUUCCAGCAGUACACAAUGCUAAAAAAUAUGGGAAGGUUACCAGAUAUGAACAACAGACUUUGUAAAUGGUUGUAGGACCUAGAUCAGUCACAAGUCAUGUCUGGUCCCUUACCUUAAGGACCCCCAUCCUAGAUGAACUAUGGGUUGACCUCGGAUCAGGUAGGAAUACCCGCUGAACUUAAGCAUAUCAAUAAGCGGAGGA
Molecule: unclassified non-coding RNA, 384 nt
Filed under: soil metagenome
Description: partial contains 5.8S ribosomal RNA, internal transcribed spacer 2, and large subunit ribosomal RNA
Rfam family: 5.8S ribosomal RNA (bases 1-120)
Source: RNAcentral